GGUUGUUUGGGCAAUCUGGCUGUGACAUCUGUUACCCCAUUCAUUUGGCUGACCUGGCUGGCUAGGCGGGUGUUCCCAUGCCCCCUCACCGCUCCCUGGGCAUCCCUCCCAAACUGGCAUACUUGGUCAAAGAUGGCCUUCCCCAAAGAGAGGAAUUCCCGUCUUUGGUCCAGGGUAUACGAGUAGCUGUACUCUCCUGCUAGAACCUCCAAACAAACUCUCAAGAAAACCAGUUUAGGGCUGGAGAGAUGGCUUAGCGGUUAAGCGCUUGCCUGUGAAGCCUAAGGACCUUG
RNAcentral lists this small nuclear RNA (293 nucleotides) under Jaculus jaculus (lesser Egyptian jerboa). RNAcentral's name for it is "7SK RNA (ENSJJAG00000009427.1)". It matches the Rfam family "7SK RNA". From Rfam's summary of the family: 7SK was discovered as an abundant small nuclear RNA in the mid-70s but a possible function has only recently been suggested. Two independent studies have found that 7SK RNA binds the CDK9/cyclin T complex (known as elongation factor P-TEFb). The record is from RNAcentral. Lineage: Eukaryota; Metazoa; Chordata; Mammalia; Rodentia; Dipodidae.